AAUCAGGUAGGACUACCCGCUGAACUUAAGCAUAUCAAUAAGCGGAGGAAAAGAACUAACAAGGAUUCCCCUAGUAACUGCGAGUGAAGCGGGAAAAGCUCAAAUUUAAAAUCUGGCAGUUUAAUGGCUGUCCGAGUUGUAAUCUAGAGAAGUGCUAUCCGCGCUGGACCGUGUACAAGUCUCCUGGAAUGGAGCAUCAUAGAGGGUGAGAAUCCCGUCUUUGACAUGGACCGCCAGGGCUUUGUGAUGCGCUCUCAAAGAGUCGAGUUGUUUGGGAAUGCAGCUCAAAAUGGGUGGUAAAUUCCAUCUAAAGCUAAAUAUUGGCGAGAGACCGAUAGCGAACAAGUACCGUGAGGGAAAGAUGAAAAGAACUUUGGAAAGAGAGUUAAACAGUACGUGAAAUUGCUGAAAGGGAAACGCUUGAAGUCAGUCGCGUCGUCCAGGGAUCAACCUUGCUUUUGCUUGGUGCACUUUCUGGUUUGAUGGGUCAGCAUCAAUUUCGACUGUUGGAGAAAGGCAAGGGGAAUGUGGCAUCUUUGGAUGUGUUAUAGCCCUUUGUCACAUACAAUGGUUGGGAUUGAGGAACUCAGCACGCCGCAGAGGCCGGGUUUUAAACCAGGUUUUUUAAACCACGUACGUGCUUAGGAUGCUGGCA
RNAcentral lists this ribosomal RNA (655 nucleotides) under uncultured Corticiaceae. Its description in RNAcentral is "eukaryotic LSU rRNA". It matches the Rfam family "Eukaryotic large subunit ribosomal RNA", at positions 9 to 631 of the family's 3401-position model. The record is from RNAcentral. Lineage: Eukaryota; Fungi; Basidiomycota; Agaricomycetes; Corticiales; Corticiaceae.